UACGUAGGGUGCAAGCGUUAAUCGGAAUUACUGGGCGUAAAGCGCUUGUAGGCGGUCCACCAAGUUUGGGGUGACAGUUGCCGACUUAAUCGGCAAAGUGCCUCAAAGACUGGCGGACUUGAGGGCCACAGAGGGACAUGGAACUCCAGGUGUAGUGGUGAAAUGCGUAGAUAUCUGGAGGAACACCAAAGGCGAAGGCAGUGUCCUGGGUGGUCGCUGACGCUGAGAGGCGAAAGCCAGGGGAGCGAACGGG
RNAcentral lists this ribosomal RNA (253 nucleotides) under uncultured bacterium. RNAcentral describes it as "partial 16S ribosomal RNA". It matches the Rfam family "Bacterial small subunit ribosomal RNA", at positions 524 to 776 of the family's 1533-position model. The record is from RNAcentral.